GCACGCGCACACCGCCGCCGGGGGGGGCGGGGCGGCGCUCAGUGGGGCCGCGGGCGGCCGGCGGGUUUCGGGGGGUACAGCCCUGGUCCAGGCGCUCCUAUCGCCUGCUGCUGGCGAGUGGGAACCCCACAGCCGUCCCCCCCCCCCAAGAGUGGCCCCAAGUGCAAGCAGAAGGGCCGGAUGUUGGAGGAAAACUGGUGAGGAGGCAGAGGCAGAGGCAGGCAGUGAGGUGGAGAAGGCAGCGCUGAGCAGAUGGACCGGGCGGUGAAGCUUUGGGUAGUGAAGACGUGGGCUUUAACUCAAGCGGCCAACUACACUGAACACUGGGAACAAAGCAAUUUGCAGUAGAACGUUAUUUAAUAGGAAUGAAGAACCCGCCCUUUUUCUUGAAUACAAAUUGUAAGAAGUGCGGGGGAUUUCGUUGGAAGAGACUUACUGGAUAAAGUGAGAAAUCUUGGCGUAUUGAGAAGACUAUGGGGAGGACUAAUGUUUUGCUGUUGAUACACUUCCCCUGCAAAAUCUUGGGAAAGAUUUUGUAGGGGAAAGACAGUGCCUUACCAUUUUUAGGUGCUUCUGGGUGGAGAAAUUGUGUGGGUUGGGAAUUGUAGCGUAGAAAUUCUCGUGGCAGGGAGGUGGUAGGACAGGGGUCUCUGCAUGUCUGGGGUUUAGGUUACUGAGUGCAUUUGACCAGAAAACCUAUUUUCUCCAUUGACAUUAGGGAGAAAAAAAAAUAUAUGCUAUCGGCUCUGGCACACAAUGGGAGGAAAAGGAAGGAUGACUGUUCAGUACUGGGGUUCCCAUCCUUCAUUCCUUCCUUCUCUUGUCCUUGUAGCGACAAGGUAUUCACAGGACUCAAGCAGCAAACCUGGGACGAGGUCUUCAGGCAGAAUUCACAGAUUCGUUGGAAUCUGACAGGGCCGCACCACGAGCACUUCUCCAGUGGGGUUCCUGUCAGAGCACACCUUGGCUGUUGGGGCCUACCCCUACACAUGGGGUUGUCAGGGCUUGAGAUCAGCACUGACUGCAUUUCUGGGUCUAGGUCAGGUGCAGAAAAAACUCGACGGAGUAUUGAUGUGCUGUAAUGGCCUUUGGAAGCCUUGCAGGUGGGGUGGAUAAGAGCUGCAUCCUGUCAUACAAUCUCAAACUGUACCAGUGUACAAUAUGCCAUUCAUUUUGACAAAUUUCCUUGUUUCCUGGGGUUCCUAAGACUUAUUAACAAAUUGCUAGCCAGCAAGCAAGACAGUGACAUGUCAAAGAGCAUAGUAGGAUAUCUCCUUCUGUUUCUGCCCUCUGAUUUGAGCUCUGUAUCUUUGGGCAGCUUAUAUUACAUGUAGGUACCGUAUCGUUCCAAGUUGUAAAAUAGUUGUUGUGAUAUUUUUCUACUUUGGGUUGUUGUGGUGUUUGAAUUGUUGUUUUAAGAAUAGAUCCUCUCAUAAAAGGUUCCAUAAAAAUGGAAAAUGUUGUUAAUCGCAACUUUCUGGAGUGCCUCUUCUUACGAAGAGCUGCAGACGCUACAAACAGUAUUUGCAUUGGUUAAGGAGUGCCUCAUCAACAUCUUGCAGACAAAAAGAAGUGUACAGUAAACACUAGUUUGUGAGGAAUUUACAAUUACAAACUGUGUGUCUGUCUGAUGUUUCUUUCCAUUAGUGGUUAUUGUUUUAUUGGCAAGCUUCUAUUAAGAGAAAUCUUCAUCUCAAAUUCUCAGACUAAUGCAUUUCAUGGAAGCAAAAAAUAUUUUCAGUCUCUUGCAGAAAUUAGAAUGUUUCUGCCAAAGGACCUUUGACUGCAAAGGAACAGGAAAAAAUGUUGUUUCUUUUUUUUCUACAUUUUAUUCCACUUGGAUUUACUCUUUUUUUUUAAUCUAAAUUUGGACACUAUUAUAAAGGCAAAGGGAGAGUCAUUUAAAAAUAUUUAUUGGCUUAUUAAAUUGAACUGCUUUGCUGCUGUAGAGCCAAGCUUUAUAGAAUCUGCACUGUAGAAGUGUAAUAUUUCCUUAACAGAAGAUAUAAAAUCAGUUUUGCUCUAAUUUUCAAGGAUAAUAGAUGGUUAAUUAUAAAAAUAAUGGAAGUAAUUUAAUCCCCUGCAUAUUCAAAACUUAUAGUCUUAUCCUUGUAAAACAUGAGACUAUCACCAGCCACAUGAAACACAUUAAUUGGCUACUUCUUGUGUGAUUAGCAGUGAAAAAUAUAGCAUAGGCACUUUGAAGCUUACUUAAGAUAACUGGUAGUCUGUUAAUACAAAUUAACUGGGCUGGAUGACAUGGUUUUAUCCAGUGUUGUAAGAUGAAGGUAAUAUUCAAUUACUUUUAAAAAUCAGGACAUUAAACAUGAAGAAAGGAAAUACUUGGUCAUACAACACAUGAGUAAUGGUGCUGCUCAUUGCCACAGGUGGCAAUAAAUAUUUUAAAAGGCACAGAUAUUUAUAUAGAUCUGAAAAAUAUCCAGGGUUUUCAUAAUUAAUGACCAUUUGGAAGGGAUAUUAAAUCUUGUGUUUCAGGGCAUAAAGCAAUCUUGAUUAGAUAUCAGGAUCAAGGGACAUAUUACUCAAUGUGUGCUUACUACAGCUUUUGUGAGCUAUCCUAUAAAGCUUCUGGUUCUGACCAAGAACAAGAAGUACCCCUGUGUGAUCUCUGUUAGAAAUGCCAAUGCUUUGCCUGCACUUGUAAUGCAGUGUUACUUCUGAACAAAAGUCUAAUGUGGAUGUAGUCAGAGGAACUAGAUUAUUUUUUAAACAAAGGCUAAGGUUGAAUCUAUAUUUAAGAGUUUAGCUCACGUAGCUGUGUUUGGUUAGGAUGUGAAAAAAAUCAUGUCAUAGUUAACAAUGCAGGGAAAACUGUGUUGUAAACAUGGUUACACCAGUCCUGCAAACAUGAGUUAUAGCAGCAAAAGAACUUGCACCAAUAUGGGUUUGCUAACAGCUGUACAAGUGAACUGUUUCUACUGUAGACAAGACAUUCUGUGCAAACCAGAAAAGUCCAUGCUGAAACAGCAGGGAGACCCAUGGGUUCCAAGGAUAAUAAUUUUUUUCCUCUUGUCUGUGGAUUUCUAUUGACCCUGCCCUGGAUCUAUUCUAUAUAGUAUUCUACGUGCACAUCUAUCUCAGUUCGUAGAAAAACAGGAGGCAAAAAUGUAGUUAACAGAAUUUAUUGUUUGAAAUACCAUACUCAUGUGAUUUUGAGUGAACCCUUUUAAGUGGCCAUUUUCAAUACCGUAAUUUAAUAAAAUAUUUAUAGGGGAUAGAAUAGACUGGAUUCCUCACAUUUUAAUAUCCUUCUAUCUACAUGCUGCUUAAAAUGGCUUGCCCUGUAAUUGUGGGUAUGGGGGGGCAGACAGUUUAUUAAUGACAAAUGUAACUACUAUAGGACUGCGCCAGCUGAGCAGCAGAACUGUCAUCAGUCCCGGCUCCACUCACCCAUAGCUCCAUCAUCCGCUUUGUCACUUCCUCUUCCUUUGUACCCAGUCCCCUGGGGUUUCAGGGAGUUGCAGUCCAAACUACAGUCAGCACGGUUCUAUGGGACUGCUUCCCCUGUCAUCAUGCACUCCAUCAACCAUCAUGUUUGUUAUGUCCCCUUUCUAUAAAUUUUGAUUAUUAACAAAGGAGAUUUUUUUUGUCGGUCUGUGAGUAUGAGGUGAAAUUGACAUUUAUCACCAUUUACCAAUAAAAGUCGAAUCCUGCCAAACCUAAUUAUUAGAGGUACACCAAUAUAUCAGUCCGUAUCUUAUCGGCACUGAUAAAAGAAAAAUUGAUGUUAUUGGCAAUCGGCUUUUUUUGGCCAGUGUAGCCAGUAAUGUCACUGAUAAACGCCAUGUGCAUAGCCGCAGCAUGCUGUGCCCAGGAAUAUAGCUGGGCAGCUGGUAAGUCUUUGGGAAGGAAGGGGCGUGGGGGGGUGCAGAUCAGGGCCCCCAUGGUGAGGGAGGGAAUGGGGCUGAGGCAGGGGCAGAUGCUUCCCAAACAGGGGCGAGGCAGGGCAUGGGACAUAGCCAUGGAUGGCUUGUGUGGGAGGUGGGGCGGCUUCUGCUGCUGUGCGCACCCCCAGGGAAGUCAUGGGGGGCAUGUGCCCCCUGGAUAUGUGCACAGGGACAGGGUGGGCUGUCCUCUGGGCUUUGAGCCAGGGGCUGCGCUGGCCUUUUCUCAGUGGGGGGCUGGGCCAGGGCUGCAGUCAGGAUAGGUGGGGGCAGUGCUGGGAGGGGGGGCUAUGGGUAAUUUUGGGGUGGCUGUAGUCCACCCUGUAGCCUCCCUUAGUAGUGCCUGCCCGUGCCUCAGCCUCACUCCUUCCCUCACUGUAGGGGCCUCAAUCUGUCCCCUUCAUGCCCCUUUCCUUACAUACACCCCUUCCCCACUACAGACUGACCAGCCAGACGCUGCUCUCCAAGCUGCCAGGCUGCAUAUCAGCUAUCGGACUGGUAUCAUCCGAUAUGUCUGGUUAAUAAUCAGCCAUUGAUAUCGGCCAAAAAAACCUUUAUCGGUGCACUCCUACUAAUUAUAACUUACUUGCUUGUUCUGUUGAUAUGUUCUGAUAUGUGUUGCAUGUUAAUAUAAUAGUUUUUUCAGUAAGAUCACAUGUUGUACAACUGUAACUAAAGUAAUUGCAGCUUAGUCAUUUUCAAUCCAGGAUUUUUAAUUAUAUACAGGUCUCAUAAUAACAGGAUAGCUACCAUAAAGAAGACUUAAGUAGCCACAAGUGUUUAAAGCACCUUGCUGAAAUUUAAUUGUAAUAUUAAAUGGAGCAUGCACAGUGUCGUUAAUAAUGAGAAAUAUGUUUAGGCUUUUUUGCCUGAUGGAGACAAAACCUCAUAGUAUUUGCAUUUUUUUUAUUAUUUCCUUCAACUUUUUCUUGAUUUAAGGAGUAUUAUCUGUCUGUAGGAACUCUGAGAAGAUCAAAUUGUCUUUUCUGCUAAGAGAAGGAAAUGGGAUAAAAGUAUUAACAGAAAACUCUACUAAACAUCACUUGCCACUGUCUCUGGCUUUGCUGAGGAAAUUUGUGUUUAUGUAAGUUGCACAAAAUAAACAUACUGGCUUCCUGGUGGUUGCUCACCAGUUAAUCAGAAAACCAAAGCUGCUUACAAUACCUGUAGGAUUGAGCUUUUCAAAGCAGUCAAAGGGAUUUUAAGACACAUUCAAAUGAAGAGAUAACGUGGGUCAUAGGCUGAUUUGAAAAAUCUCAGUCAAAAUAUUUGAUUUGCCAGGGGCACAUUCACAUCAAUCCAGUGUAAAGAAACUUUUAAAAUAAAUAUUUUAUAUGAACAGCAGUCAUCUAGGUGAGAAAAUUAUAAGAAUAAUCAGGAAAUAAGAAACAUGAAAGGCUGAUGCUGAAGUGAACAUGUUAAAAUCACUGAUGGAGCUGACGCUUUAAAAAAACAACAGCAACAGAAUUUUGGUGCAACUGUGUGUCCUAUCAAUACAUGGAAAGGAAAUGAAUAAAAAGAGGAGGGAACAAAUAUUAAAAAUAUUUUUACAGAUUUAAAACACUCAAAGGCAACAGCUUUUUGUUUAAAACAUCUGCAUUAAGUGUUUUUCAUCCAGUUUUGUAACAUCAGAGUUGCAUCAAAACAAGAAAAUAAACUGACCAGUAAUCUAUUUUUAUUGUCCAUGCUAAGCAAAGAACGAAAAGCAAACUAUAUAAAGGUAACACCUUUUUCACUUGUAAUAAUUUUAAACUAUACAUAACUAUGAGGUUUUUUUCUUAUAUAUUUUAACAUCUCUGUCAUUCAAGCAGUAUCAGUUAUUUUCACCUCUCCACAGAAUGCAUUAAAGAAAUAAACCUAGGGAGAAACGAACAACUCCCCAAACUCA
Molecule: long non-coding RNA, 5793 nt
Organism: Alligator mississippiensis (American alligator)
Lineage: Eukaryota; Metazoa; Chordata; Crocodylia; Alligatoridae
Exons: 3
Source: RefSeq, a predicted model, not a curated record